RNAcentral lists this ribosomal RNA (673 nucleotides) under Salmonella enterica. RNAcentral's name for it is "bacterial LSU rRNA". It matches the Rfam family "Bacterial large subunit ribosomal RNA", at positions 2263 to 2925 of the family's 2925-position model. RNAcentral also lists the same sequence under 11 other names. The record is from RNAcentral. Lineage: Bacteria; Pseudomonadati; Pseudomonadota; Gammaproteobacteria; Enterobacterales; Enterobacteriaceae.
GGGUAGUUUGACUGGGGCGGUCUCCUCCUAAAGAGUAACGGAGGAGCACGAAGGUUGGCUAAUCCUGGUCGGACAUCAGGAGGUUAGUGCAAUGGCAUAAGCCAGCUUGACUGCGAGCGUGACGGCGCGAGCAGGUGCGAAAGCAGGUCAUAGUGAUCCGGUGGUUCUGAAUGGAAGGGCCAUCGCUCAACGGAUAAAAGGUACUCCGGGGAUAACAGGCUGAUACCGCCCAAGAGUUCAUAUCGACGGCGGUGUUUGGCACCUCGAUGUCGGCUCAUCACAUCCUGGGGCUGAAGUAGGUCCCAAGGGUAUGGCUGUUCGCCAUUUAAAGUGGUACGCGAGCUGGGUUUAGAACGUCGUGAGACAGUUCGGUCCCUAUCUGCCGUGGGCGCUGGAAGAUUGAGGGGGGCUGCUCCUAGUACGAGAGGACCGGAGUGGACGCAUCACUGGUGUUCGGGUUGUCAUGCCAAUGGCACUGCCCGGUAGCUACAUGCGGAAGAGAUAAGUGCUGAAAGCAUCUAAGCACGAAACUUGCCCCGAGAUGAAUCUUCCCUGAGCCUUUAAGGCUCCUGAAGGAACGUUGAAGACGACGACGUUGAUAGGCCGGGUGUGUAAGCGCAGCGAUGCGUUGAGCUAACCGGUACUAAUGAACCGUGAGGCUUAACCUUACAAC